UGCAGCAAGAAGCGCUCAAAAAGCCCAAUUGGCUCUGCUUUGCAUUAGCGCAUUACGGUUGAUGACCGCUGACGCGGGUGGUCCGCGCCUUCAUCGGCCGGGAUUACAGAGCGGACUCCACACCGAAUGUAUGAGUGCCAGACCUGCGAUGCUAAUCUUACUUCGCCAAGGCUAGCCUCCUCGCUCCUUUGAGGCUUGAUACCGUAUCAAGGUUUUGGGCAGGAGUAGGGGCAUCAUGAGCGGCGGCGGGGUAACAGGGUGGGGUACAGGCUGCAGUGUUGUUCGGGUUUGGGCGCGUUCUAGGCAUGUGGCACCCGUAUGUGGCAGAGCAAUUUGACUGUCCCCAACAUGUUUAUGUGCCCGCCGAGAAUGCUAAGCUGACGGUCUGAACUUCGCGGUUUUUGUAGUUGCACGACUGUAUGUCAUUAGAGUUUCGGCCAUUGUCGCAGGUGCAGGCGCAGUGCAGUAGAAUGCAGGGGCGUGGGCGAGGAGGAGAGGGCUGACGGACAACUGGAGGCCGUGAUGCGGCGGUAGAUACGGUAGGUACAGGACUGGGAGGCGCACCAAAUGCAUGACUGACUUACCAGUGCACGGCUGAACGCGAUGGCUACAUGUGCGGACUGCGGACGGGCUUGGAACAUCAGCUUAUGAAUGAGGGACGGUGCACUGUUGCCGACGCAUUCGGCCUAUCACGGCAUGCACUCACAUGGCAUCAUCUCGCUCUACACCGCCAGUCUUUGGUGCCACGGCAAGAGGUGGGGCCCCGGUGGAUGGGUGUGCAGGAGGGCGGGGUGGUUUGGCGGUAGGGAUGGGAGUGCGGAAGUGGACGACAAGGUCAAGCUUGCAGGAGGUGUUGUUUGCGGUAACAGCUGGAUGGUGGCAUGUUUUGUCGUUGUAAUAUGGGACAAGCAGCAUGAGGAUGCGUUGUCGAGGAUCAAGUUCACGAGCAUGCCAUCAGGUGAGUUGAACAAGAAAGGCCGUUAGUAAGGGCGUGCUAUGGCUGCUGCAAGUUGUUUCGGGUUAAGGAGGAGGGUGGCAUCCCUGGCCACUGGCGAUCCACCGGGUCACCUGCGCAAGGUAGGCGGUGGCGAGCUCCUUGUUGUUGGGGGGGGGCGGGUGGCACAGCCGCACAGCCGGUUUGGUGGUUGGAUGACGGUGGCAGUGCCGGGCCAGUUCCUGAUACCUUCCGUACUCGUGAUGAGCCGUGUGUGACAUCCGUACUCGUGAUGUUCGGUGUUUGUGUCAUAGCCUUGGGCAAACCUAACUGAGCAUUUACGUGGUUUCGAGUCCAACUCGGACACCUGCAAUUCAUCUGUGAUCUGUCAGCUGAGAGCACGCACAUGACGGACGCGGGUCUGCUGCACGUGGCGUACGGCUGCCCCGCCCUGCACAGCCUGCGCUUCAGCGCCACGGGCAUCGCCGAUUGGGGCGUGCGCCGACCGGUGGUGCUGGCAGGGCCUCUGCCCGGUGUUCGCGUCGUGGUCGCAGCAGCAGGGGCAGAAGGCUGGAGGGGCGGCGUUAAGGCGGCAGGCGCUGUGGGUGCCGAGGCACGGGCGGCUUGCAACCAGAUGGCAGCGCGCUGUUGGUUGGGACGUUGGGUUGCACUUGGGGGUGCGCUGGGUGAUAACUUUGUUGCAGGAACGGUGGUAGGCGCCUGGCGUGCGGUAUCCCGCGAGCAGCGGGUGCGCCGCGACGCGUUGACCACUCAGCCUGGCUGCGCACGCUAUGGUCAACUCGGCAUGGGGCCGUUCGACAGAGGCCAGCACACAUGCCGACGUGUAUCCGCUGUCCCCUCCCAGCUGUCCCUUCCAGUAGUCCCUUCCAGUUGUCCCUUCCAGCUGUCCCACACCAACUGUCCCACCCCAGCUGUCCCUUCGGCUCCCUUCUCAAAACGCAGCUUUCAGCAAAAUCUACAGCCUGCCCGACUCCCAGCGUGUGCGACCUUCCGCCCGCCUUCCAAAACGCAACAGCCCCCGCCUCUCCUCGCCAGCCGCUCACAGCCGAAACUCUGCUUCUUUCUUUAUCAGCCACAAACAUCAGCCACAAACAAGGCCUCGGAAACAACGCCUCGGAAACUUCCUCCCAACUAGUGCGCGGCCACAGCUCCCCUACCGAACGUCGCAGCACCUAUCCUCACCAUCAGCAACGCUUCCUCACCUCCGGUUGUGUUGUUGGCGUGUUGCACCGCAUUCGGCCUGCCCGCCACAAUUGUCGUACACAUUCGGGCCCCUCUUCUGCUUUGCUUCGCCUUGUUCCUGCCCCUGUUUGUCACACUGUCGCCCGGCCAUUGUUUUGCUGCACGCCGUUGCAUUACGCUAGUGCUCGUCUACACAGCUCAUCCGUGGACGCCGGUCGACUGCCUGCAGGUGCGCAUCGGCUAUGCUAUCCGCGCGGUGUGGCGUCGCAUUGAGUCUGUGUGGUGCUAUCGCCUUGGCCGGGCGCCCGGAGCGUGAGGAAUGCGCGUCAGCAAAACAUCGACACAACCUGCCAGCUACCGUCGGUACAGUAACAGCGCGCGAACGACGCACCAAUGCCUUGUCCCUUCUUGCUACGCAUUUAUGUGGGCACGGGUGGGAGCCACACACAUCGGGACUACGCUUUCCUGCCCCUUGCCAUGUUCCAUCACAUGCCGACGUGUAGCAGUUUGGACUUUAUUAAUAGGUUGCACUGUUGACGUGAGCUCAAGCUUUCCGCUUAGAAGAGUAGUUGCUAGCAGUGCUAGUGAAGCUGCGUAUACUGUAACUUUCCUGAAGUCGUCAAUUUUUUCUACGCUGCAUACGCACCCUCAUGAUAAUCCUGGUUGUCAUAGAACAUGCCACCUAGACGGGCUCGAGUCCCUGCAACUCUCGAGAGCCGCAUCAAGCAAGGUCUGCAAUACUUUGCUGGCCUGCGCGAGGACGAGGCAGCAGAUGUUGCCCGUGCAAAGGACCUGGGCGAUGCACUCCUUGAAGCUGACAUGAACAUUAUCAGCAAUACCGGGAUUUUGAGCGGCAUCGUGGCUGCGCAUGCCUGGGCCGCGCGUGCGCUUGCCGUUGACGUUCUGAACGACUCGGCUUACGUCGCUUUUGUAGCGACCGCAACUAAUCUAGGAGAACUGCUCAGCAGCCAGCCGGGCGACCAAGCUUACGGCAGGCAGGACCGGUUGGUCCGAGCCCUGCUGAGGGCGGACACGCUCGCCGUGCACGCGAGGCUGUGUGUACGGACGCUCGCGCCCACCCGCGGGGCCGCCGCCCGCCGCAGCCUCCGGCCACCGGAUGCAAUCAAGCGGGAUCUGGUAUGGCGUGUCCUCCAGAACCUCUCCACGAUUGCCCGAUUUGUGAACAACAGCCGGGAUGCUGGCCUCAAGCACGAGCUGGUGACGGCGCUGGCGCACACGCAGCUGCUCGAGCACGCCGCGCGGGCGCUGCUAAGCGCCGCCCAGGCCAUUCAGCCCGCAUCCAGCGAAGGAACUUCAGGGGCGGCUGCAGCUUCGGGAACGGGGCUUCCACCUGAGAGCUGGAUAACCGUGUCGGGCGUAGCAACCACAUUUGCCCACGCGCUUUCGUGCCUGGUGGGCACAGACCUGCGCACUACCGCGCUGUGCCCACGACCCCGCGAACGGGACGCAUCUGUGGAGGUGUCGCAGAAUUCGAGGCAGCUACAACUGCUGGAGCAGCUGCGGCCGCUGCUGGCCAGCCGCUGCGUGCAGCUCUGCACGGGAUGGGCGGGCCUGUGUGCGGCCAUUACCGUACGGCAGCGGGCAGCGGACGACAGCGCUCAGCAGGGCUUGGUACCAACUGCGUCGCAGCUGUGGCACGGGCUGCCGUCGGAGCUGAUACGGCCGCUGCAGCUGCCGCCGCAGGCCACUGUGUCAAGCCAGGAUAUGGUGCGCACAGCGACCCUGGUACGUAUACGGUACUCGACCGCCGAUGCGCAAGAUGGGCUGCUGCGUUAGUUGACGGGGAGCUUGACGGGGAUAUAAGUGCAUGAACUGCAAUGCUCCCGGCGGGGCUCUCCGGUAUACAAUCUAGUGUUGGCAUUACAGGAACUUAGCGUUGACAUUAGCUCGCCAUUUGCUCGCCGCCUUGCAGGCACUGCCUAUGGUCCUGCAGGUGACGGUCAGCGGCCCCUGCGACCUGGCCAUCGCCCAGCCGCCCGUGGGCUACGACCGCCUGCCGCACAGGCAGCCACAGCCGCAGCGACCAUCGGCGGGGCCAUCAGCAGCGGGGUCAGCAGCAGCGGAGGGGCCGGCUGCAGCACCAGCACCAGCUUCGUACAGCGCCGUAAACGCGUACGGGCUGCUUAAGGCAUUAUGGCACUGCCUGGCCUGUGACCGCGCCACUUACACGUGCAACCUGUGCGCAGUCGCCACGGUAAUGACCCGGCUGCUGACGGAGCUGCGGCCGCGGCAGGCGGCGGUGCUGCUGCCGAGUUGGUGGCAGCUGCUGGCGCAGGAGCCGUCCAUGCUCAUUGAGGGGUACGGGCUUGCGCAGGACGCAGGGGAGCUGCUGCGGCUGCAGUUGAAUGCGCCGCCGCCGGUCGCGUGGGCUGUUGGGGUGACGGAUGCAGCUUCCGUGGCUGCGGCGAGUGUGGACUGGCCGCCGGAAGCGGCGGAGGUGCAGGACGCGGAGGCGGCGACAGCAGCGAAGGCAGCAGCCAGCCUGGCGCGUGAGAGGGACCCCAGCUACAGCCUCCGCUGCGCGCUGGACGCGGGGCUGCUGUCAGUUAUGGAACGGUGCCUUCGCGCGCCACAGGCCUGGCGGCAGUCCAACAGCGUGAGCAAGCUGCUGUACGUCGUAAACUGCGUGCUGCGCUACUCGGGCGUGUGGCCCGCGGUGCUGGCUCGCGGUCCCGUGCAGCAGGCGGUGUCGCUGAUUGCCACGCUGGGCGCAGCAGCUCGGCUGCUGCAGGAGAAGGACACGUCACUGGACGUGAUAAGCCGUGCCUCCCAGCCUGGCAUGCAAACAACGGCAAGGUGCGGCGCCGGCGGCUACCUGUGUGCCUACCUGUCCGCAAUGCUGGAGCAGGUCGUGGACGUGCGGGCGCUGGGCGAGGGCGCACAGCAGCAGCAGCAGCGGGAGGAGCAGCAGGCAGCAGCUAUCGAUGCUACGGCCACAGCCGCAAUUUCCACCCCACUGCACCUCAACUCGGUGCUGGAGCAGGUAGUGGAUUCGAAGGACGGCAGUGUCGAGCCCUCCACGUGCUCCAUCGCCUGGAUGGCGGCGGCGGGCGGCCUGCCAGCUGCCGGCUCCACAGCGUACCGGCAGCAGCAGCUGCUCACGAGCUUCGCGGUGUACCAGUGGCUGCCCAUGCUGGCAAAGGCAACGGAGGAUGCCUUGUGGAGUAGUGAGGCGGGCGCCGAGGGCUGGCUGUCGCAGGCGCUCCUGGUGGGGCACCUGGUGAUGGAUGUGCUCUGGCGCGAGGAGCGCCCGCCAGCUGAAGCCGACGAGGGCGCUGGCUCACACAACCGACGACAGGACGCGGCGUGGUGGGAGGGCGUGACGCAGACUGGCCAGCUUGCGAAGAGCAUGCACAAUAUUAUGGACGUGCUGGCAACAGACGCCGUAAGGCCGCUGCUGCUUGAGCACUGUGAACAGUGGCAGCAGGCAGCCGUGUUGGACCUGUUGCAAUCCUAUUGGACACGCUUUGCGGGGGCGGCGCGUGUCACGAUACGUGCGUGGGCGAUACGGGCGGCCGAACAACAGCAUCAGCGGACGGAUGGAAAGCAGCAGGCUGGGCAGGCGGCGGAGGGCGGGAAGGGCAGCAGCACGAGCAGCCUUGGCGACAGCACAGCACAGCAGCGGCAGGCGCCACCGCCCGAGCUAGUGCUGCAGUGCUUGACGCCGCUGCCGAUGCAGCAGCUGGCAGCGGUGCACGGGCGGCAGGACAUGGUGGAUUACCUGGACGCAGUAGCUAAGGGUUUGAGAGGGGAAAUGAUGAUUGAGUGCGGCAGUGCCGGCGCCGGCGGAAGCGGCAUGGGGGUGCAAGGGCCUGCCAGCAUGGAGGGCGGCGCGUCGCACGCUAGCGCCACGGCGGAUAGGUUGAGGGCGAAGUGGGUUGGCGCCGUGCGGCCGCGGUACCCGUGGCUGUUGUCUCAAGGCCAGGCACAGGCGGGGCUGCAUGACCUGAUGGUCGCAGAGGCGGCGGCUGCAGCGGCAGCUACUGCUACGGGCGAGCCCUCAGUAGCCUGCGGCGGCGGUGGCAGCAGCGGGAGCAGUAGCAGGAGCAGUAGUGGGCAGGGCAGCAGCAGCGAUGGGCCGGUAUUUGAGCACAAGCUGUGCUACAACCCGCGCUGCUGCUCGCUGGACGGCCCCAGCGUGUUGGUUGCGCCCCGCGGCGGCAAGACGUGUGUGCGGUGCCGUGCUGCCACGUAUUGCUGCGGCGCUUGCCAGCUUGUGGACUGGCGUGAGCGGCACUCUGGCACCUGCAGUGGAGCCGCCGCGGCGGCGGCAGGGUCAGCAGGGACAGCGAAGGCAGCGCUGAAGAAGGCAUGAACUGACGAAGUGCAACAGCAGUAUGGACCCGAAGACUGCGCUUCAAAUGCGGCGUUUUGCGGUUUGUAUGAGAGUGAGAGUGCGAUGCAUGGCGUGGACUCUUGGGUCGUUUGCCACGCCGAGCGUGCAGCAAGAAGCGCUUAAAAAGCCCAAUUGGCUCUGCUUUGCAUUAGCGCAUUACGGUUGAUGACCGCUGACGCGGGUGGUCCGCGCCUUCAUCGGCCGGGAUUACAGAGCGGACUCCACACCGAAUGUAUGAGUGCCAGACCUGCGAUGCUAAUCUUACUUCGCCAAGGCUAGCCUCCUCGCUCCUUUGAGGCUUGAUACCGUAUCAAGGUUUUGGGCAGGAGUAGGGGCAUCAUGAGCGGCGGCGGGGUAACAGGGUGGGGUACAGGCUGCAGU
RNAcentral lists this long non-coding RNA (6875 nucleotides) under Chlamydomonas reinhardtii. RNAcentral describes it as "long non-coding RNA (CREI_LNC000646)". Lineage: Eukaryota; Viridiplantae; Chlorophyta; Chlorophyceae; Chlamydomonadales; Chlamydomonadaceae. The record is from RNAcentral.